Molecule: ribosomal RNA, 465 nt
Filed under: uncultured bacterium
Lineage: Bacteria
Description: bacterial SSU rRNA
Rfam family: Bacterial small subunit ribosomal RNA
Source: RNAcentral
CCUACGGGGGGCAGCAGUGGGGAAUUUUGGACAAUGGGCGCAAGCCUGAUCCAGCCAUGCCGCGUGCGGGAAGAAGGCCUUCGGGUUGUAAACCGCUUUUGUCAGGGAAGAAAAGGUUCUGGCUAAUACCUGGGACUCAUGACGGUACCUGAAGAAUAAGCACCGGCUAACUACGUGCCAGCAGCCGCGGUAAUACGUAGGGUGCAAGCGUUAAUCGGAAUUACUGGGCGUAAAGCGUGCGCAGGCGGUUAUGCAAGACAGAGGUGAAAUCCCCGGGCUCAACCUGGGAACUGCCUUUGUGACUGCAUGGCUAGAGUACGGUAGAGGGGGAUGGAAUUCCGCGUGUAGCAGUGAAAUGCGUAGAUAUGCGGAGGAACACCGAUGGCGAAGGCAAUCCCCUGGACCUGUACUGACGCUCAUGCACGAAAGCGUGGGGAGCAAACAGGAUUAGAUACCCUAGUAGUC